This 477-nucleotide ribosomal RNA is filed under the name uncultured bacterium. Its description in RNAcentral is "partial 16S ribosomal RNA". It matches the Rfam family "Bacterial small subunit ribosomal RNA", at positions 28 to 507 of the family's 1533-position model. The record is from RNAcentral.
GAUGAACGCUGGCGGCGUGCCUAACACAUGCAAGUCGAACGAAGCACCUUACCUGAUUCUUCGGAUGAAAGUUUGGUGACUGAGUGGCGGACGGGUGAGUAACGCGUGGGUAACCUGCCCUGUACAGGGGGAUAACAGCUGGAAACGGCUGCUAAUACCGCAUAAGCGCACGAGGAGACAUCUCCUUGUGUGAAAAACUCCGGUGGUACAGGAUGGGCCCGCGUCUGAUUAGCUGGUUGGCAGGGUAACGGCCUACCAAGGCAACGAUCAGUAGCCGGUCUGAGAGGAUGACCGGCCACAUUGGAACUGAGACACGGUCCAAACUCCUACGGGAGGCAGCAGUGGGGAAUAUUGCACAAUGGGGGAAACCCUGAUGCAGCAACGCCGCGUGAGUGAAAAAGUAUUUCGGUAUGUACAGCUCUAUCAGCAGGGAAGAUAAUGACGGUACCUGACUAAGAAGCUCCGGCUAAAUACGUG